GCCCUCUUAGCUCAGAGGAUAGAGCGUCUGCCUCCGGAGCAGAAGGUCGUAGGUUCGAAUCCUACAGAGGGCGCCA
This 76-nucleotide transfer RNA is filed under the name Actinomycetota bacterium. Its description in RNAcentral is "Actinobacteria bacterium (sediment metagenome) tRNA-Arg". It matches the Rfam family "tRNA". Rfam says of the family: Transfer RNA (tRNA) molecules are approximately 80 nucleotides in length. Their secondary structure includes four short double-helical elements and three loops (D, anti-codon, and T loops). Further hydrogen bonds mediate the characteristic L-shaped molecular structure. tRNAs have two regions of fundamental functional importance: the anti-codon, which is responsible for specific mRNA codon recognition, and the 3' end, to which the tRNAs corresponding amino acid is attached (by aminoacyl-tRNA synthetases). tRNAs cope with the degeneracy of the genetic code in two manners: having more than one tRNA (with a specific anti-codon) for a particular amino acid; and 'wobble' base-pairing, i.e. permitting non-standard base-pairing at the 3rd anti-codon position. Lineage: Bacteria; Bacillati; Actinomycetota. The record is from RNAcentral.